CGUGUAGGUGGGCCUCUAAGUCUGGGGUGAAAUCCCGCAGCUUAACUGCGGAAUUGCUUCCGAUACUGGAGGUCUUGAGUGCGGCAGAGGGAGAUGGAAUUCAUGGUGUAGCGGUGAAAUGUGUAGAUAUCAUGAAGAACACCGGUAGCGAAGGCGGUCUCCUGGUCCGUUACUGACACUGAGGCGCGAAAGCGUGGGGAGCAAACAGGAUUAGAUACCCUGGUAGUCCACGCCUUAAACGAUGGGUACUCGGUGCUGGGUCGCAAGGUUCAGUGCCAAAGCUAACGCAUUAAGUACCCCACCUGGGGAGUACGAUCGCAAGGUUGAA
Molecule: ribosomal RNA, 328 nt
Filed under: uncultured bacterium
Lineage: Bacteria
Description: bacterial SSU rRNA
Rfam family: Bacterial small subunit ribosomal RNA
Source: RNAcentral